UUUCUUUGGUGGUGGUGGGGAAUGGUAAACUGGAGGGGGAGAGUAGUGCUUCACCGGUGGUGGUGGAGAUUUGUACACGUAGUGUUUCUUUGGUGGGGGUGGGGAAUGGUAAACCGGAGGAGGAGAGUAGUGCUUAACUGGAGGAGGAGGAGAUUUGUACACGUAGUGUUUCUUUGGUGGUGGUGGGGAAUGGUAAACCGGAGGAGGAGAGUAGUGCUUAACCGGAGGAGGAGGAGAUUUGUACACGUAGUGUUUCUUUGGGGGUGGUGGGGAAUGGUAAACCGGAGGAGGUGAGUAGUGCUUCACCGGUGGUGGUGGAGAUUUGUAGACGUAAUGCUUUUUAGGUGGGGGUGGGGAAUGGUAAACCGGAGGGGGAGAGUAGUGCUUAACCGGAG
RNAcentral lists this long non-coding RNA (395 nucleotides) under Arabidopsis thaliana (thale cress). Its description in RNAcentral is "long non-coding RNA (ATHA_LNC000278)". Lineage: Eukaryota; Viridiplantae; Streptophyta; Magnoliopsida; Brassicales; Brassicaceae. The record is from RNAcentral.